CGGCGGACGGGUGAGUAACACGUGGAUAACCUACCUAUAAGACUGGGAUAACUUCGGGAAACCGGAGCUAAUACCGGAUAAUAUAUUGAACCGCAUGGUUCAAUAGUGAAAGACGGUUUUGCUGUCACUUAUAGAUGGAUCCGCGCCGCAUUAGCUAGUUGGGUAAGGUAACGGCUUACCAAGGCAACGAUGCGUAGCCGACCUGAGAGGGUGAUCGGCCACACUGGAACUGAGACACGGUCCAGACUCCUACGGGAGGCAGCAGGG
RNAcentral lists this ribosomal RNA (267 nucleotides) under uncultured Staphylococcus sp. RNAcentral's name for it is "partial 16S ribosomal RNA". It matches the Rfam family "Bacterial small subunit ribosomal RNA", at positions 96 to 354 of the family's 1533-position model. Lineage: Bacteria; Bacillati; Bacillota; Bacilli; Caryophanales; Staphylococcaceae. The record is from RNAcentral.